UACGUAGGGGGCGAGCGUUGUCCGGAAUCACUGGGCGUAAAGGCGCGUAGGCGGCCUGCUAAGUCGGAUGUGAAAUCCCUCGGCUCAACCGAGGAACUGCAUCCGAUACUGGCGGGCUUGAAUCCGGGAGAGGGAUGUGGAAUUCCUGGUGUAGCGGUGAAAUGCGCAGAUAUCAGGAAGAACACCCGUGGCGAAAGCGGCUCUCUGGAACGGUACUGACGCUGAGACGCGAAAGCGUGGGGAGCGAACAGG
Molecule: ribosomal RNA, 252 nt
Filed under: uncultured bacterium
Lineage: Bacteria
Description: partial 16S ribosomal RNA
Rfam family: Bacterial small subunit ribosomal RNA
Source: RNAcentral